Long non-coding RNA from Planococcus citri (citrus mealybug), 1296 nucleotides. RefSeq lists it as uncharacterized. Lineage: Eukaryota; Metazoa; Arthropoda; Insecta; Hemiptera; Pseudococcidae. The record is from RefSeq and is a predicted model, not a curated record. The transcript has 2 exons.
UUCAUUUUUAAAUUUUGAAAAAAAAAUAAAAAUUUUUCAAAAAUUGCAAAAAAAAUAGGUAACAGAAUAAGUUGGUAGGCAGCAUCAGUGUUUUCAUACUGUCCACUAAAACAUUCUCUCCGAAUUUUUUGUAUUUUCUUCAUCACGAUGCACUGUUUCAAACAACAAACGUUAUCAGCAGAACAUUACCCAACUACCCAAGUGCAUUUGUUUGUGCUUCACUUGAAACGUGCUUUAAAAAAGUGCAAAUUUUCAACUUUCAGCGUGAAGGAAAAGUAUUUUAUUACCAGUUUUCACAAUUCACACUCUGUAAUCUGCAUGUUUGUAUUCUGUUGAAGGCAAUAUUUCAAAUGUUCUCUCAAAUUCGCGUUCAUCGGAAUAAUGACCAUCUAUACGUGCAGCUAUCCAAACUGCAACAAGACAUUUCAACGACCUUCCAAAUUGAAGAAUCACUAUAAUUUACACGUUGGCGUGAAACCGUUCGUAUGCACUGUUUCAGGAUGUGGUAAAUCCUACUCUACUUCUAGUCAUUUACAUCGCCAUAUCAAAUGUUCGCAUGGUAAUCAAUCGGACACCAAACAAGUUUUCGCAUGUCCCUAUAGUUUGUGUAAUGCAACAUUUCAAACUUUAUGGGGCUUACAAAGACACGAAGAUAGUCAUCUGGCACCCUUCUAUUGCCAAAAAUGUAAUCUGCAUUUCAAAACUGACGCAUGUUACGAGAAACACGUGAAACGGCAUGAAAUUGUUUCUAGUCGAAAAUGUCAAAUUUGCGGAGAAGACUUUAGUAACAGGCUGAAAAGAGAUUUUCUGAGGCACGAGAAAAUUCAUAGAAUCGAUCAUAAGUGCGAAUUUUGCGGUAAAAUGUUCACUCAUCUGAAAGAUCUCCAAAGACAUCUAACUAGACAUGAAUCGAGAUUUGAAUGUGCUCAUUGCGGUGCUAUAAUGACGAGAAAAAAUUCGCUUCUAGCUCAUAUUCGUGCACUGCAUGUUGACUUCGUGGAACCCUAUGUAUGCGAGAAAACUGGUUGUCCAAAGGUUUACUGUUAUAAACGUAAUUGCGCCAAGCACACAUCACAACAUUGCGAGCAUGUUCGAUUCAAAUGUCCGAUGGCAAAUUGUUGUCAAGAAUUUUUACAUAAGAAAAGUUAUCUACGUCAUUUGCAAUUACAUCAAAGAAAUGAAAUCAAACCGAAGAAAAAAUUUAGAACGAUUGAUAGAGCUAGAUUGUUGGUAAAUGCUUUAUGUUCUUGAAAUAUUAAUUAAUUGUUGAUGUUUGUAAUAAAAUAAGCUGAUUCA